RNAcentral lists this ribosomal RNA (510 nucleotides) under uncultured bacterium. RNAcentral describes it as "partial 16S ribosomal RNA". It matches the Rfam family "Bacterial small subunit ribosomal RNA", at positions 28 to 507 of the family's 1533-position model. The record is from RNAcentral.
GACGAACGCUGGCGGCGUGCUUAACACAUGCAAGUCGAACGAAGAGCGAUGGACGCUUGCUUCUAUCAAUCUUAGUGGCGAACGGGUGAGUAACGCGUAAUCAACCUGCCCUUCAGAGGGGGACAACAGUUGGAAACGACUGCUAAUACCGCAUACGAUCUAAUCUCGGCAUCGAGGAUAGAUGAAAGGUGGCCUCUACAUGUAAGCUAUCACUGAAGGAGGGGAUUGCGUCUGAUUAGCUAGCUGGAGGGGUAACGGCCCACCAAGGCGAUGAUCAGUAGCCGGUCUGAGAGGAUGAACGGCCACAUUGGGACUGAGACACGGCCCAGACUCCUACGGGAGGCAGCAGUGGGGAAUCUUCCGCAAUGGACGAAAGUCUGACGGAGCAACGCCGCGGGAGGGAUGACGGCCUUCGGGUUGUAAAGCUCUGUUAAUCGGGACGAAAGGCCUUCUUGCGAACAGUUAGAAGGAUUGACGGUACCGGAAGAGAAAGCCACGGCUAACUACGUG